CCUACGGGAGGCAGCAGUGAGGAAUAUUGGUCAAUGGGCGCGAGCCUGAACCAGCCAAGUCGCGUGAGGGAAGACGGUCCUAUGGAUUGUAAACCUCUUUUGUCGGGGAGCAAAAGACGCCACGCGUGGCGUUCCGAGAGUACCCGAAGAAAAAGCAUCGGCUAACUCCGGGCCAGCAGCCGCGGUAAUACGGAGGAUGCGAGCGUUAUCCGGAUUUAUGGGGUUUAAAGGGUGCGCAGGCGGAAGAUCAAGGCAGCGGUAAAAUUGAGAGGCUCAACCUCUUCGAGCAGUUGAAACUGGUUGUCUUGAGUGAGUGAGAAGUAUGCGGAAUGCGUGGUGUAGCGGUGAAAUGCAUAGAUAUCGCGCAGAACUCUGAUUGCGAAGGCAGGAUACCGGCGCUCAACUGACGCUCAUGCACGAAAGUGUGGGUAUCGAACAGGAUUAGAUACCCCAGUAGUC
This 459-nucleotide ribosomal RNA is filed under the name uncultured bacterium. RNAcentral describes it as "partial 16S ribosomal RNA". It matches the Rfam family "Bacterial small subunit ribosomal RNA", at positions 338 to 795 of the family's 1533-position model. The record is from RNAcentral.